Molecule: ribosomal RNA, 253 nt
Filed under: uncultured bacterium
Lineage: Bacteria
Description: partial 16S ribosomal RNA
Rfam family: Bacterial small subunit ribosomal RNA
Source: RNAcentral
UACGAAGGGGGCUAGCGUUGUUCGGAAUCACUGGGCGUAAAGCGCACGCAGGCGGAUUGAUAAGUCAGGGGGGAAAUCCCGGAGCUCAACUUCGGAAUUGCCUUUGAUACCGUCUGUCUUGAGUCCGGGAGAGGUGAGUGGAAUUCCUAGUGUAGAGGUGAAAUUCGUAGAUAUUAGGAAGAACACCAGUGGCGAAGGCGGCUCACUGGCCCGGUACUGACGCUCAUGUGCGAAAGCGUGGGGAGCAAACAGG